UAGGGGAAUCUUCGGGCAAUGGACGGGAAGUCUGACCGAGCAACGCCGCGUGAGUGAAGAAGGUNUUCGGAUCGUAAAGCUCUGCAUGUAAGAGAAGAACGAGUGUGAGAGUGGAAAGUUCACACUGUGACGGUAUCUUACCAGAAAGGGACGGCUAACUACGUGCCAGCAGCCGCGGUAAUACGUAGGUCCCGAGCGUUGUCCGGAUUUAUUGGGCGUAAAGCGAGCGCAGGCGGUUAGAUAAGUCUGAAGUUAAAGGCUGUGGCUUAACCAUAGUACGCUUUGGAAACUGUUUAACUUGAGUGCAAGAGGGGAGAGUGGAAUUCCAUGUGUAGCGGUGAAAUGCGUAGAUAUAUGGAGGAACACCGGUGGCGAAAGCGGCUCUCUGGCUUGUAACUGACGCUGAGGCUCGAAAGCGUGGGGAGCAAACAGGAUUAGAUACCCUGGUAGUCCACGCCGUAAACGAUGAGUGCUAGGUGUUAGACCCUUUCCGGGGUUUAGUGCCGCAGCUAACGCAUUAAGCACUCCGCCUGGGGAGUACGACCGCAAGGUUG
This 554-nucleotide ribosomal RNA is filed under the name uncultured bacterium. RNAcentral's name for it is "bacterial SSU rRNA". It matches the Rfam family "Bacterial small subunit ribosomal RNA", at positions 354 to 896 of the family's 1533-position model. The record is from RNAcentral.